CCUACGGGAGACAGCAGUGGGGAAUAUUGCACAAUGGGGGAAACCCUGAUGCAGCGACGCCGCGUGAGUGAAGCAGUAUUUCGGUAUGUAAAGCUCUAUCAGCAGGGAAGAAAUAGCGACCUUUGGGUCGCCAGACGGUACCUGACUAAGAAGCCCCGGCUAACUACGUGCCAGCAGCCGCGGUAGUACGUAGGGGGCAAGCGUUAUCCGGAUUUACUGGGUGUAAAGGGAGCGUAGACGGCAGCACAAGUCUGAAGUGAAAUGCCGGGGCUUAACCCCGGAACUGCUUUUGAAACUGUGCAGCUAGAGUGCAGGAGAGGUAAGUGGAAUUCCUAGUGUAGCGGUGAAAUGCGUAGAUAUUAGGAGGACCACCAGUGGCGAAGGCGGCUUACUGGACUGUAACUGACGUUGAGGCUCGAAAGCGUGGGGAGCAAACAGGAUUAGAUACCCCUGUAGUC
RNAcentral lists this ribosomal RNA (458 nucleotides) under uncultured bacterium. Its description in RNAcentral is "partial 16S ribosomal RNA". It matches the Rfam family "Bacterial small subunit ribosomal RNA", at positions 338 to 795 of the family's 1533-position model. The record is from RNAcentral.